CAAGGCCUCAUGCUAUAGGAGCGGCCGAUGUCUGAUUAGCUAGUUGGUGGGGUAAAGGCCCACCAAGGCGACGAUCAGUAGCUGGUCUGAGAGGACGAUCAGCCACACUGGGAUUGAGACACGGCCCAGACUCCUACGGGAGGCAGCAGUGGGGAAUUUUGGACAAUGGGCGAAAGCCUGAUCCAUCAAAGGCGCGUGUGUGAAGAAGGCCUUCGGGUUGUAAAGCAAAAGGUCCGGAAAGAAAUGGCUCUGGUU
This 255-nucleotide ribosomal RNA is filed under the name uncultured bacterium. RNAcentral describes it as "partial 16S ribosomal RNA". It matches the Rfam family "Bacterial small subunit ribosomal RNA", at positions 202 to 461 of the family's 1533-position model. The record is from RNAcentral.